Long non-coding RNA from Oncorhynchus tshawytscha (Chinook salmon), 5220 nucleotides. The record is from Ensembl. Lineage: Eukaryota; Metazoa; Chordata; Actinopteri; Salmoniformes; Salmonidae.
UAGGACUCCUGGGGGUACUUGGCCUAUCCACAGGGGGUACUUGAGUAGACUCAUGAGACCAUAGACUUACUGGUAAAAUGCACAUGAGUGGUUACUUCAGGGGUACUCCGAGCAGAGCAAAGUUCAGAUGGUGGUACAGUAACCGAAAGGGGUUGGGAACCACUGCAGUAGCAUACACGGUCUGGAGUGGAUGACCACUAUACAUCGCGCACGCUUUUAGGCUAGCAGCACAGCCAAGUACCACUCCCCGAAACAAUUUCCUAUUUUCAUGGCUACUUGACUCGUUAAUGCACACACACACACACACACGACUCGAAACAUACACAGCAAACGCAAUCGCCAUCACUGGAAGAACAGCGAAAUAGUAUGGGCUAGUUUAGUGGCAUUAUCCAGCUAGCUAGCUACCUAGCUACUCCACGAACGAACCCAUGAGAAAAGAGGCAGCAACGCAAGCUACUCACCCGUAUGGGUCUCCGUAUGGGUCUCCGUGGCACUCCUGUCCUAAUUGGCACGCUAACAAUCUGCAAUCUUGGUAUAAUACUCUCCAGGACACCUUGUUGUUUAACGGAGGUGGAUAGCUAACAACUACGAACUAUCUAGCUAGCUAGUUGUCCGAUGCUGGGGCUGCUGGAUUCUGCUCUUUACUUGAAGUGCUUGUCUCAGCGAACGUCAAUGUCGCCGAAUUAGAUGUGGCUUCCUCUAGCCUUUCCACACUCUUUUCGAGGACCCCCCAAAAACAAUCGACGAAAGAAGUAAACAACUCCAAGCAUCAUCCUAUUCGCCGAAAGGUACUCCCUAGUUUUAGCUACAUCAACUCAAACACGGACCUAUUUCCACACACGAGUUGAUACCGUUGAUUGGGGCGGGCUAAAGUGUAGAGAUACACGUCGCUUUAUCCGUUAUGGCACUGUACAACCUAACUGCACUGUGUGGCAGUUUUCAGUUGCGCACCAGUGACAAAUAAGGCUGCUCGCCAGAAACCCAAGUGCUGUAGCUAAGCUACUCUGUUGCACUGGCUGUGAAAAGUACCAAUCCUCAGCAGACCAGGGCUUCAAAGCAGGUGUUCGUGAAAUCGGCAGCAUCCUCUUCACAUUCCUCAUCAGCAUCUUCUGGUACCAGACAACAUCUGGUUGGCCUGGGCUGUGAGUGGGCUGUGUGUGAUGCUAGCCAUGUUCCUGGGAGCUCCUACCUAUCUCAUGAACGUAGAUGGUCAUAUGGAUAACUAUACGCAAGACGGAGGCUGCCCUCCAGACUUCAUCCAGUGGCCCAAGGAGAACUGCCCGACCAUUAACGGUGUCUUCAGGUGCUGCUGGUUCAGAGGAGGGUGGUGGUGCCAGCGCUGAGUGCAGCAGGGGCGCCAGUGGAGCAGCCUCCCAGGAAGAAGGUCUCUACCUGGGGAUCGAAAGGAACACAGUGGGCAUCCUGGCUGCCAUGGGGGUGUUCCAGGUGGAAUGGAUCCUUCAGUCCCUACGACUUCCCCUUUUGGACCGAGGUGGAGUUCUUCAUCACAACGUCCUAUAUCACAAUCAGCCCUUAUGUGUAUGGGAUAGGGAGUAACCUGUUUUCUGUGAAACACUUUAAGAAGUAAUGGAAGAAAGACUUUUUAGGCCUUAGGUGUCAGGUGUAAGCAAUUUUCUGUGCAGUAUGAUUAUGGGAUAAGGGAAUAACCUCUUCUCUGAAACAUGUAACAAAGUAAUUGUGGUAUAUUUAUAAACCCUCUGUGUUAGAUGUAGGUGAUUCUCUAUUUUCUCUGAAGUAAUUUUAAGAAGUCAAAGCACGGUUUUUAGACGUAAACUACCGGUCAAACGUUUUAGAAAUCCUACUCAUUCCAGGGUUUUUCUUUAUCUUUUACUAUUUUCUACAUUGUGGAAUAAUAGUGAAGACAUCAAAACUAUUAAAUAAAACAUAUGGAAUAAUGUAGUAACCAAAAGUGUUAAACGAAUCAAAAUAUAUUUUAUAUUUGAGAUUCUUCAAAUAGCCACCCUUUGCCUUGAUGAAAGCUUUGCAAACUCCUGGCAUUCUCAACCAGCUUCAUGAGGUAGUUACAUAGAAUGUAUUUCAAUUAACAGGUGUGCCUUAAAAGUGAAUUUGUGAAAUGUAUUUCCUUCUUAAUGCAUUUGAGCCAAUCAGUUGUGUUGUGACAAGGUAGGGGUGGUAUACAGAAGAUAGUCCUAUUUGGUAAAAGACCGAGUCCAUAUUAUGGCAAGAACAGCUCAAAUAAGCAGAGAAACGACAGUCCAUCAUUAAUUUAAGACAUGAAGGUCAGUCAAUACGGAAAAUGUCUAGAACUUUGAACGUUUCUUAAAGUGCAUUUGCAAAAAUCAUCAAGCGCUUUGAUGAAACUGGCUCUCACGAGGACUGCCACAGGAAAGGAAGACCCAGAGUUACCUCUGCUGCAGAGGAUAAGUUCAUUAGAGUUACCAGCCUCAGAAAUGGCAGCCCAAAUAAAUGGUUUGCAGAGUUCAAGUAACAGACACAUCUCAACAUCAACUGUUCAGAGGAGACUGCGUGAAUCCUGUCUUCAUGGUUGAAUUACUGCAAAGAAACCACUACUAAAGAACACCAAUAAGAAGAAAAGACUUGCUUGGGUCAAGAAACACGAGCAAUGGACAUUAGACCAGUGGAAAUCUGUCUUUUGGUCUGAUGAAUCCAAAUUCGAGAUUUUUGGUUCAAACCGCUGUGUCUUUUGAGACGCAGAGUGAACGGAUGAUCUCCGCAUGUGUGAAGCAUGGAGGAGGAGGUGUGAUGGUGUGGAGGGGCUUUGCUGGUGACACUGCCUGUGAUUUAUUCAAGGCACACUUAACCAGCAUGGCUACCACAGCAUUCUGCAGUGAUACGUCAUCCCAUCUGGUUUGCGCUUAGUGGGACUAUCAUUUUUUCCCCAAAAGAACAAUGACCCAAAACAAACAUCCGGGGUGUGUAAGGGCUAUUUGACCAAGAAGGAGAGUGAUGGAGUGCUGCAUCAGAUGACCUGGCCUCCACAAUCAUCUGACCUCAACCCAAUUGAGAUGGUUUGGGAUGAGUUGGACCACAGAGUAAAGGAAAAGCAGCCAACAAGUACUCCGCAUAUGUGAGAACUCCUUCAAGACUGCUGGAAAAGCAUUCCUCAUGAAGUUGGUUGAGAGAAUUUCAAGAGUGUGCAAAGCUGUCAUCAAGGCAAAGGGUGGCUACUUUGAAGAAUCUAAAAUAUAUUUUUAAUUGUUUAACACAUUUUUUUUUGUUACUACAUGAUUCCGUAUGUGUUAUUUCUUAGUUUUGAUGUCUUCACUAUUAUUCUACAAUGUAGAAAAUAGUGAAAAUAAAUGUAAAAAACCUUGAAUGAGUAGGUGUGUCCAAACUUUUGACUGGUACUGUGUGUGUGUGUGUGUGUGUGUGUGUGUGUGUGUGUGUGUGUGUGUGUGUGUGUACAGUUGAAGUCUUAAGUUUACAUACACCUCAGCCAAAUACAUUUAAAUUGUGUUUUUUGCAAUUCCUGACAUUUAAUCCUAGUAAAAAUUCCCUGUCUUAGGUCAGUUAGGAUCACCACUUUAUUUUAAGAAUGUGAAAUGUCAGAAUAAUAGUAGAGAGAAUGAUUUAUUUCAGCUUUUAUUUCAUUCAUCACAUACCUAGUGGGUUAGAAGUUUACAUACACUCAAUUAGUAUUUGGUAGCAUUGCCUUUAAAUUGUUUAACUUGGGUCAAACGUUUCAGGUAGCCUUCCACAAGAUUCCCACCAUAAAUUUGAUUAAUUUUGGCCCAUUUCUCCUGACAGAGCUGGUGUAACUGAGUCAGGUUUGUAGCCCUCCUUGCUCGCACACGCUUUUUCAGUUCUACCCACAAAUGUUCUAUAGGGUUGAGGUCAGGGCUUUGUGAUGACCACUCCAAUACCUUGACUUUGUAUACCCAUUUUGCCACAACUUUGGAAAUAUGCUUGGGGUCAUUGUCCAUUUGAAGAUCCAAGCAUUAACUUCCUGACUGAUGUCUAGAUAUGUUGCUUGAAUAUAUCCGCAUCAUUUUCCUUCCUCAUGCAGCUAUCUAUUUUGUGAAGUGCUCCAGCCCCUCCUGCAGCAAAGCACGCCCACAACAUGAUGCUGCCACCCCUGUGCUUAAUGGUUGGGAUGGUGUUCUUCGGCUUGCAAGCCUCCCCCUUUUUCCUCCAAAUAUAACGAUGGUCAUUGUGGCCAAACAGUUCUAUUUUUGUUUCAUCAGACCAGAGGACAUUUCUCCAAAAAGUACAAUCUUUGUCCCCAUGUGCAGUUGCAAACCGUAGUCUGGCUUUUUUUAUGGAGGUUUUGGAGCAGUGGCUUCUUCCUUGUUGAGCGGCCUUUCAGGUUAUGUCGAUAUAGGACUCGUUGUACUGUGGAUAUAGAUACUUUUGUACCUGUUUCCUCCAGCAUCUUCACAAGGUCCUUUGCUGUUGUUCUGGGAUUGAUUUGCACCUUUCGCACCAAAGUACGUUAAUCUCUAGGAGACAGAACGCGUCUCCUUCCUGUGUGGUAUAACGGCUGCGUGGCCCCAUGGUAUUUAUACUUGCAUACUAUUGUUUGUACAGAUGAACGUGGUACCUUCAGGCGUUUGGAAAUUUCUCCCAAGGAUGAACCAGACUUGUGGAGGUCCACAAUUUAGCUGAUUUGUUUUUAUUUUCCCAUGAUGUCAAGCAAAGAGGCACUGAGUUUGAAGGUAGGCCUUGAAAUACAUCCACAAGUACACCUCCAAUUGACUCAAAUGAUGUCAAUUAGCCUAUCAGAAGCUUCUAAAGCCAUGACAUAAUUUUCAGGUAUUUUCCAAGCUGUUUAUAAGCACAGUCAACUUCGUGUAUGUAAACUUCUGACUCACUGGAAUUGUGAUACAGUGAAUUAUAAGUGAAAUAAUCUGUCUGUAAACAAUUGUUGGAAAAGUGACUUGUGUCAUGUACAAAGUAGAUGUCCUAACCGACUUGCCAAAACUAUAGUUUCUUAACAAGAAAUUUGUGGAGUGGUUGAAAAACGAGUUUUAAUCACUCCAACCUAAGUGUAUGUAAACUUCCGACUUCAACUGUAUAUAUAACAUUGAACUCUGUCUAUGAUUGAAUGUAUGACACAGAGUGCCCAUGACACAGAGUGCCCAUGACACUUGACAACAAUGAAAAUAAGUCUUGACUUUUUGUUUAUGUAACCUCAACAGGUUUGGUAUAUGUAUCUGUUGCCUGGUGCAACAUUUUGUGUAUUUUAAAUUGUCAAAUAAAAUCAUACUGGGAACUAUC